GAUGAACGCUGGCGGCGUGCCUAAUACAUGCAAGUCGAGCGAACAGAUAAGGAGCUUGCUCCCUUGACGUUAGCGGCGGACGGGUGAGUAACACGUGGGUAACCUACCUAUAAGACUGGAAUAACUCCGGGAAACCGGGGCUAAUGCCGGAUAACAUUUAGAACCGCAUGGUUCUAAAGUGAAAGAUGGUUUUGCUAUCACUUAUAGAUGGACCCGCGCCGUAUUAGCUAGUUGGUAAGGUAACGGCUUACCAAGGCAACGAUACGUAGCCGACCUGAGAGGGUGAUCGGCCACACUGGAACUGAGACACGGUCCAGACUCCUACGGGAGGCAGCAGUAGGGAAUCUUCCGCAAUGGGCGAAAGCCUGACGGAGCAACGCCGCGUGAGUGAUGAAGGUCUUCGGAUCGUAAAACUCUGUUAUUAGGGAAGAACAAAUGUGUAAGUAACUGUGCACUUCUUGACGGUACCUAAUCAGAAAGCCACGGCUAACUACGUG
Molecule: ribosomal RNA, 497 nt
Filed under: uncultured bacterium
Lineage: Bacteria
Description: partial 16S ribosomal RNA
Rfam family: Bacterial small subunit ribosomal RNA
Source: RNAcentral